GGGAUGGACAUACCUCUGGUGUACCAGUUGUCGUGCCAACGGCAUAGCUGGGUAGCUAUGUAUGGACGGGAUAAGUGCUGAAAGCAUCUAAGCAUGAAGCCCCCCUCAAGAUGAGAUUUCCCAACUUCGGUUAUAAGAUCCCUCGAAGAUGACGAGGUUAAUAGGUUCGAGGUGGAAGCGUGGUGACACGUGGAGCUGACGAAUACUAAUCGAUCGAAGACUUAAUCAAUUUUUAAA
RNAcentral lists this ribosomal RNA (237 nucleotides) under Staphylococcus epidermidis. RNAcentral's name for it is "partial 23S ribosomal RNA". It matches the Rfam family "Bacterial large subunit ribosomal RNA", at positions 2694 to 2925 of the family's 2925-position model. Lineage: Bacteria; Bacillati; Bacillota; Bacilli; Caryophanales; Staphylococcaceae. The record is from RNAcentral.